GAUGAACGCUGGCGGCGUGCCUAAUACAUGCAAGUCGAGCGAACAGACGAGGAGCUUGCUCCUCUGACGUUAGCGGCGGACGGGUGAGUAACACGUGGAUAACCUACCUAUAAGACUGGGAUCACUUCGGGAAACCGGCGCUAAUACCGGAUAAUAUAUUGAACCGCAUGGUUCAAUAGUGAAAGACGGUUUUGCUGUCACUUAUAGCUGGAUCUGGGCCGCAUUAGCUAGUUGGUAAGGUAACGGCUUACCACGGCGACGAUGCGUAGCCGACCUGAGAGGGGGAUCGGCCACACUGGAACUGAGACACGGUCCAGACUCCUACGGGAGGCAGCAGUAGGGAAUCUUCCGCAAUGGGCGAAAGCCUGACGGAGCAACGCCGCGUGAGUGAUGAAGGUCUUCGGAUCGUAAAACUCUGUUAUGAGGGAAGAACAAAUGUGUAAGUAACUAUGCACGUCUUGACGGUACCUAAUCAGAAAGCCACGGCUAACUACGUG
RNAcentral lists this ribosomal RNA (497 nucleotides) under uncultured bacterium. RNAcentral's name for it is "partial 16S ribosomal RNA". It matches the Rfam family "Bacterial small subunit ribosomal RNA", at positions 28 to 507 of the family's 1533-position model. The record is from RNAcentral.